Molecule: ribosomal RNA, 117 nt
Organism: Pongo abelii (Sumatran orangutan)
Lineage: Eukaryota; Metazoa; Chordata; Mammalia; Primates; Hominidae
Source: Ensembl
GUCUACAGCCAUACCACCCUGAACGCGCCCGAUCUCGUCUGAUCUCGGAAGCUAAGCAGGGUCGGGCUUGGUUAGUACUUGGAUGGGAGAAUCUGUGAAUACUUGGUAUUUUAAGAA